AUUGAACGCUGGCGGCAUGCUUUACACAUGCAAGUCGAACGGUAACAGGUCUUCGGAUGCUGACGAGUGGCGAACGGGUGAGUAAUGCAUCGGAACGUGCCCAGUCGUGGGGGAUAACGCAGCGAAAGCUGUGCUAAUACCGCAUACGAUCUAUGGAUGAAAGCGGGGGAUCGCAAGACCUCGCGCGAUUGGAGCGGCCGAUGUCAGAUUAGCUAGUUGGUGGGGUAAAGGCCCACCAAGGCGACGAUCUGUAGCUGGUCUGAGAGGACGACCAGCCACACUGGGACUGAGACACGGCCCAGACUCCUACGGGAGGCAGCAGUGGGGAAUUUUGGACAAUGGGCGCAAGCCUGAUCCAGCAAUGCCGCGUGCAGGAAGAAGGGCCUUCGGGUUGUAAACUGCUUUGUACGGACGAAAAGGUCUGGGUUAAUACCCUGGGCUCAUGACGGUACCGUAAGAAUAAAGCACCGGCUAACUACGUGCCAG
This 486-nucleotide ribosomal RNA is filed under the name uncultured bacterium. RNAcentral's name for it is "bacterial SSU rRNA". It matches the Rfam family "Bacterial small subunit ribosomal RNA", at positions 30 to 511 of the family's 1533-position model. The record is from RNAcentral.